RNAcentral lists this ribosomal RNA (253 nucleotides) under uncultured bacterium. RNAcentral describes it as "partial 16S ribosomal RNA". It matches the Rfam family "Bacterial small subunit ribosomal RNA", at positions 524 to 776 of the family's 1533-position model. The record is from RNAcentral.
UACGAAGGGGGCUAGCGUUGUUCGGAAUCACUGGGCGUAAAGGGCGCGUAGGCGGCCGAUCAAGUCGGGGGUGAAAGCCUGUGGCUCAACCACAGAAUUGCCUUCGAUACUGUUUGGCUUGAGACCGGAAGAGGUUAGUGGAACUGCGAGUGUAGAGGUGAAAUUCGUAGAUAUUCGCAAGAACACCAGUGGCGAAGGCGGCUGACUGGUCCGGUUCUGACGCUGAGGCGCGAAAGCGUGGGGAGCAAACAGA